RNAcentral lists this ribosomal RNA (600 nucleotides) under uncultured bacterium. RNAcentral describes it as "bacterial SSU rRNA". It matches the Rfam family "Bacterial small subunit ribosomal RNA", at positions 28 to 666 of the family's 1533-position model. The record is from RNAcentral.
AACACGCUGGCGGCGCGCCUAACACAUGCAAGUCGAACGAGAAAGUGGAGCAAUCCAUGAGUACAGUGGCGUACGGGUGAGUAACACGUGGGUAAUCUACCUCUUAGUGUGGAAUAACCGUGGGAAACCGUGGCUAAUACCGCAUAAGCUCGAGAGAGGAAAGCAGCAAUGCGCUGAGAGAGGAGCCCGCGGCCGAUUAGCUAGUUGGCAGGGUAAGAGCCUACCAAGGCAGAGAUCGGUAGCCGGCCUGAGAGGGCACACGGCCACACUGGCACUGAAACACGGGCCAGACUCCUACGGGAGGCAGCAGUGGGGAAUCUUGCACAAUGGGGGAAACCCUGAUGCAGCGACGCCGCGUGAGCGAUGAAGCCCUUCGGGGUGUAAAGCUCUUUCGGCAGGGAAGAUGGUGACGGUACCUGCAGAAGCAGCUGCGGCUAACUACGUGCCAGCAGCCGCGGUAAUACGUAGGCAGCAAGCGUUGUUCGGAGUUACUGGGCGUAAAGGGUGUGUAGGCGGUUGUUUAAGUUUGGUGUGAAAUCUCCCGGCUUAACUGGGAAGGUGCGCCGAAUACUGAAUGACUUGGAAUUGCGGGAAAAGGAA